RNAcentral lists this ribosomal RNA (860 nucleotides) under uncultured bacterium. RNAcentral describes it as "bacterial SSU rRNA". It matches the Rfam family "Bacterial small subunit ribosomal RNA", at positions 518 to 1378 of the family's 1533-position model. The record is from RNAcentral.
CGGUAAUACGGAGGGUGCAAGCGUUACUCGGAAUCACUGGGCGUAAAGCGCGCGCAGGCGGUCUAUUAAGUUGGAUGUGAAAGCCUACGGCUCAACCGUAGAACUGCAUCCAAAACUAUUAGACUAGAGUGUGGGAGAGGAAGAUGGAAUUAGUUGUGUAGGGGUAAAAUCCGUAGAGAUAACUAGGAAUACCAAAAGCGAAGGCAAUCUUCUGGAACACUACUGACGCUGAGGCGCGAAAGCGUGGGGAGCAAACAGGAUUAGAUACCCUGGUAGUCCACGCAGUAAACGAUGAAUGUUAGUCGUCGGGGGCCUAGUGUCUUCGGUGAUGCAGCUAACGCAUUAAACAUUCCGCCUGAGGAGUACGGUCGCAAGAUUAAAACUCAAAGGAAUAGACGGGGACCCGCACAAGUGGUGGAGCAUGUGGUUUAAUUCGAAGAUACGCGAAGAACCUUACCUAGCCUUGACAUAUUUGAAAAUCCACCAGAGAUGGAGGAGUGCCUUCGGGAGUUCAUAUACAGGUGCUGCACGGCUGUCGUCAGCUCGUGUCGUGAGAUGUUGGGUUAAGUCCCGCAACGAGCGCAACCCUCGUCACUAGUUACUAACGAUUCGGUCGAGGACUCUAGUGAGACUGCCUUCGCAAGAAGGAGGAAGGUGAGGACGACGUCAAGUCAUCAUGGCCCUUACGGCUAGGGCAACACACGUGCUACAAUGGCCAGGACAGUGAGAAGCGAUACCGCGAGGUGGAGCAAAUCUAUAAACCUGGUCUCAGUUCGGAUUGUAGUCUGCAACUCGACUACAUGAAGCUGGAAUCACUAGUAAUCGUAGAUCAGCUAUGCUACGGUGAAUACGUUCCCGGG